GACGUAGGGGGCGAGCGUUGUCCGGAGUUACUGGGCGUAAAGGGCGUGUAGGCGGCUUGGCGCGUUUCGGGUGCCAGCGGAGGGCUUACCUCUCCGAGUGCUCGGAAGACGGCUGGGCUCAGAGGGCUUCAGAGGGAGCAGGAAUUCCGGGUGGAGCGGUGAAAUGCGUAGAGAUCCGGAGGAACACCAAAGGCGAAGGCAAGCUCCUGGGAAGGCCCUGACGCUGAGGCGCGAAAGCCAGGGGA
Molecule: ribosomal RNA, 245 nt
Filed under: uncultured bacterium
Lineage: Bacteria
Description: partial 16S ribosomal RNA
Rfam family: Bacterial small subunit ribosomal RNA
Source: RNAcentral